RNAcentral lists this unclassified non-coding RNA (326 nucleotides) under soil metagenome. RNAcentral's name for it is "partial contains 5.8S ribosomal RNA, internal transcribed spacer 2, and large subunit ribosomal RNA". The stretch from base 1 to 119 matches the Rfam family "5.8S ribosomal RNA", at positions 35 to 154 of the family's 154-position model. The record is from RNAcentral.
GAUGAAGACGCAGUGAAAUGCGAUAAGUAAUGUGAAUUGCAGAAUUCAGUGAAUCAUCGAAUCUUUGAACGCACAUUGCGCCCCUUGGUAUUCCGAGGGGCAUGCCUGUUCGAGCGUCAUUAUCACCCCUCAAGCUUUGCUUGGUGUUGGGGCCUGCUGUAAUAGGCAGCCCUUAAAAUCAGUGGCGGUGCUUCAAGGCUCUAAGCGUAGUAAUUCUCCUCGCUAUAGUGUCUAGUGGUUGCCAGCCAGAACCCCCCAAUUUUCAUGAUUGACCUCGGAUCAGGUAGGGAUACCCGCUGAACUUAAGCAUAUCAAUAAGCGGAGGA